AUUGAACGCUGGCGGCAUGCUUUACACAUGCAAGUCGAACGGUAACAGGCCGCAAGGUGCUGACGAGUGGCGAACGGGUGAGUAAUGCAUCGGAACGUGCCCAGUCGUGGGGGAUAACUACUCGAAAGAGUAGCUAAUACCGCAUACGAUCUAUGGAUGAAAGCGGGGGACCGUAAGGCCUCGCGCGAUUGGAGCGGCCGAUGUCAGAUUAGGUAGUUGGUGGGGUAAAGGCUCACCAAGCCAACGAUCUGUAGCUGGUCUGAGAGGACAACCAGCCACACUGGGACUGAGACACGGCCCAGACUCCUACGGGAGGCAGCAGUGGGGAAUUUUGGACAGUGGGCGCAAGCCUGAUCCAGCAAUGCCGCGUGCAGGAAGAAGGCCUUCGGGUUGUAAACUGCUUUUGUACGGAACGAAACGGCUCUGGUUAAUACCCGGGGCUAAUGACGGUACCGUAAGAAUAAGCACCGGCUAACUACGUG
RNAcentral lists this ribosomal RNA (482 nucleotides) under uncultured bacterium. RNAcentral's name for it is "partial 16S ribosomal RNA". It matches the Rfam family "Bacterial small subunit ribosomal RNA", at positions 30 to 507 of the family's 1533-position model. The record is from RNAcentral.